AUGUUAUCGCUCCCGCUGCGAGCCCAGCCGCGCCGCCUUUGCUCAGCUGCUUGCUCGUGCUCGCAGCACCGACCCUCUGGGCUGGCGCCAGGCAGGCGGCAGCUCGGGGGCUGCUGCGCGGCGUGGAGGUUUCUGCGUAAAGCAGCCACCGGCUGCCCGCUGCCUGCAGGGCUGGCACAGCCUCCUGCGCGCUCACCAAGCCGGGGGAAGGGGGCCCUUCGCUGCUUGGUGGUCCCAGCAUCUCUGCUUGACACGGAGAAUUCCUGCUCCCCUCCGCUGGGGCCCUUGGGUGACGUUUGUGUGCUCAGAGUGAGGGAGAAAUCCCGACGUCUGUGCGCAGCCCUGGUUGGGAUUCAUUUCUGCUGCCUUCUGACGGCCAAAGCAAGGAGAGGAGAGGGACCAGGCUCCCUGCAGCCCCCCGGGGAUUGUGUAGCCCUGUGGGCGAUGUGGAGCUCAGGGCUCCUCUCCUUGCAGCUCCAGCCCUGCUGCUGCCCCUGGCCUUGCACAAGGGCCGAUGACCCUGCAGUGAUCAGCCCUGCCUCAGCAUCCCCAUCGCACGCAGCCCCCCUGCUCUCACCACAGCAGCAUUUUCCUUCCCAGAGGCCAUGUCUGGUCUGGUCUGCCAAGCCCGGUGCCACGACUCUGCUAACCCCAUCCUACCCUGCUGCUAUCCAGCCUCACGCAUACAUUUCAACCAGGGCGAUGCUCUUCGCACAACCACCGCUGGUUUUUAGGCCGCGAGCUGGUGGUGCCUUGUUUUACCAGGCUGACACUGGCCCCGCUGGGGAAAGCCAGCGGGUGCUAGCGGGGCGAACGGUGCUUUGCUUUCCCUCGCCAUGCCCUGCGGCAGCCCCCUGGGCUCUCCUGGACUCGGUGGCUUCCCCCUGUCCUUCCCCGAGCCCUGCUGGGGUGCAUUCCUGGGCUGUUUGCACAUUUCCCACACUGCUGGCACCGUUCCCUCAGCCCAUCCCCAGCACACCGGCCCAGCUGCCAGCUGCACCGCAGCGACUGGGGGAAAGUUUAGGUCUCAUUGUUCUCGCAGGUUAA
RNAcentral lists this long non-coding RNA (1047 nucleotides) under Anser brachyrhynchus (Pink-footed goose). RNAcentral describes it as "lncRNA (ENSABRG00000021745.1)". The record is from RNAcentral. Lineage: Eukaryota; Metazoa; Chordata; Aves; Anseriformes; Anatidae.